AUUGAACGCUGGCGGCAGGCCUAACACAUGCAAGUCGAACGGUAACAGAAAGCAGCUUGCUGCUUUGCUGACGAGUGGCGGACGGGUGAGUCAUGUCUGGGAAACUUCCUGAUGGAGGGGGAUAACUACUGGAAACGGUAGCUAAUACCGCAUAACGUCGCAAGACCAAAGAGGGGGACCUUCUGGCCUCUUGCCAUCGGAUGUGCCCAGAUGGGAUUAGCUAGUAGGUGGGGUAACGGCUCACCUAGGCGACGAUCCCUAGCUGGUCUGAGAGGAUGACCAGCCACACUGGAACUGAGACACGGUCCAGACUCCUACGGGAGGCAGCAGUGGGGAAUAUUGCACAAAGGGCGCAAGCCUGAUGCAGCCAUGCCGCGUGUAUGAAGAAGGCCUUCGGGUUGUAAAGUACUUUCAGCGGGGAGGAAGGGAGUAAAGUUAAUACCUUUGCUCAUUGACGUUACCCGCAGAAGAAGCACCGGCUAACUCCGUG
RNAcentral lists this ribosomal RNA (490 nucleotides) under uncultured bacterium. RNAcentral's name for it is "partial 16S ribosomal RNA". It matches the Rfam family "Bacterial small subunit ribosomal RNA", at positions 30 to 507 of the family's 1533-position model. The record is from RNAcentral.